RNAcentral lists this ribosomal RNA (358 nucleotides) under uncultured soil bacterium. Its description in RNAcentral is "bacterial SSU rRNA". It matches the Rfam family "Bacterial small subunit ribosomal RNA", at positions 26 to 377 of the family's 1533-position model. The record is from RNAcentral.
AGGAUGAACGCUGGCGGCGUGCUUAACACAUGCAAGUCGAACGGUGAAGGCUGGAGCUUGCUCUGGCUGGAUUAGUGGCGAACGGGUGAGUAACACGUGAGUAACCUGCCCCAGACUCUGGGAUGAGCGCUGGAAACGGCGUCUAAUACCGGAUACGAGCUUCCACCGCAUGGUGAGGAGCUGGAAAGAAUUUCGGUCCGGGAUGGACUCGCGGCCUAUCAGCUUGUUGGUGAGGUAAUGGCUCACCAAGGCGACGACGGGUAGCCGGCCUGAGAGGGUGACCGGCCACACGUGGGACUGAGACGACGGCCCAGACUCCUACGGGAGGCAGCAGUGGGGAAUAGUUGCACAAGUGGGC